Long non-coding RNA from Prunus dulcis (almond), 1815 nucleotides. RefSeq lists it as uncharacterized. Lineage: Eukaryota; Viridiplantae; Streptophyta; Magnoliopsida; Rosales; Rosaceae. The transcript has 5 exons. The record is from RefSeq and is a predicted model, not a curated record.
CAAAAUAAACCCAGUUCCAAGGCUCAAUUAAGAUAAUCUACGAUUGCUCCUUCAAAAUCUCGGAGCUGGUCUGUGAGAAAUCGACGAGCUGCUGAUUUAACUAACCUCACCGUCGGAGCCGCAACUCUAAUUUUCAUUGCUUUCUAGAUCUCUCACUUGCUUUCUUACAGAUCUUGCAGCUAUUUCCAGAUCUCAUAGCUCAAUAUCUCGCAUCUUAGUCAUAGGCAAGGUCGUUUUACAACUCAAGAGGUGGACUUGGGUCCUGAUCCAUGAGGCCGACUCUUUCCUCCACCGACAAUGAUGCAUUGCAGAGGCCUUUUCUCUGUUCAGUGAGAUCAUCAAAUCAAAGAUCAUCAACGACCGUGAGAUCGAGAGGUCCAGGGGCUUCAGCUUUGUCACUUUCAACCACGAGAAGGCUAUAAGGGACGCGAUCGAAGGCAUAAACGGCUAGAACCUCGACGGCCAUGACGCCCAAUCUCGUGGAAGCGGCGGUGGUUGUGGUGGUAACGGAGGUUACAGUCACGGAGGAUAUGGUGGCGUUGGCUACGGAUCUGGCGGCGUUGGCUACUGAGGUGGCGAUCAUCGUGAAGGCGGUGGGGAUAGCGUCUCGAUGACGAUUCGGUUUAGGCCACUUAGGCAAAUUUGGAAAAGAAGAUCCGAACUUUAUUGAAGAAAGAAUUUAUUACAAAGAUGUAUUUGUUUGGUUACUCACUUUGUUUAGUUGAUCAACUUUAAUCUCAAGUGAAAGAAGUGCCCAUAGCCAUUGCCCGGCCAUUCACAUCAUGAUACCAUUGACUAUCACUGAGAGGUAUUUCCUUUUGCCUUUGCAAUUAUUUAUGGUGAAACUAUGGACAAUUGGAGAGGUUCGAUGGAGAAGGAAGGGUCGUAGCGGCAUGCCCUUGGUUUUCGUUUUUUUAAUUUUUUUAAAAAAAUCUGGGUUGGGCUUGUUUUGGGUUUUUUUUUAUUGGGCUUCUUUUAAGUUAGUGGCAGUCAUGUAAUUUAUAGGAAAUUCAACACUCAUUUUGUAUGCAGUAAAUUGUUUUUGGGUAUGUUUCUAAAGAGUAUUUCAUGUAUGUUUGUUUAUAAUUUCAGCCUCUAUUUUGGGUAUAUCACUAAAGCUCCCUUUAAUUUACGUCAUAAUUUGAAUUCGUUUACCAUAAUUGUCAUUGAGAUAGAAAAGGAAAUUAUCUUAAACAUAUCCCAGAAAUCACAUUGCUAUACAAACAGUCAUUCUCCUUUGAACCCAAUCUCUGUUGAUUCCUUGCUUCUUCAAUGCAGAAUUGUUGGGGUUUCAAAUUAGGUUUGAAUAUUACAGAUACUCAGAAGGUUCGAUGGUCACAAUUUAGCACUUCUGAGGCAUCCCAGCUUUCAUGGUUAUUUCCUACAAUCAUGCUCAUUCCGUCCAAAUCGCUCCAGAUUUCCGUCGAGUAGCUGCAGAUUUCUUGCUGCAAUAAUGUAGAGUUUUUUGGGUAUGAAAAUGAUAGGAACCUGACGUUCAAAAGCAAGAAAUCAAUUGUUGACAAAAUAGGGAUUGGGUCUUCUGACAUUGGGUUGCUAGAGUGCAAUUCCACACGUACAGCAUCCUCAUGGCUACGAAAGGGUUUGCAAACCUAUAGUACAGGUCAGACGUGUUGAAGUUUCAUCGUGUAAUGGAGCGAAUAAGAGUAAAUGUGAGUGUAAGCAAAUGGCAAUCAACCAAAGGCUACAACAAUCAUCAUCGUUGGAGUAUAUAGUGAAGCAAAUGGCAAUCAACCAAUCCAAUUUCCAGCAAACAACACAAGCUGCCAUCUCCAAGUUGGAAGUCCAAUUGGGCCA